This 639-nucleotide ribosomal RNA is filed under the name fungal endophyte. RNAcentral's name for it is "eukaryotic LSU rRNA". The stretch from base 179 to 332 matches the Rfam family "5.8S ribosomal RNA". The record is from RNAcentral. Lineage: Eukaryota; Fungi.
UAAAGAGUUCUAUAACUCCCAAACCCAUGUGAACAUACCUAACGUUGCCUCGGCAGGUCGCACCUACCUUGUAGCACCCUACCCUGUAGGGCCUACCCGGGAGGUGCGGGUAAGCCUGCCGGCGGCCCACCAAACUCUGUUUGAUAUUGAAUUCUGAACCUAUAACUAAAUAAGUUAAAACUUUCAACAACGGAUCUCUUGGUUCUGGCAUCGAUGAAGAACGCAGCGAAAUGCGAUAAGUAAUGUGAAUUGCAGAAUUCAGUGAAUCAUCGAAUCUUUGAACGCAUAUUGCGCCCAUUAGUAUUCUAGUGGGCAGGACCGUUCGAGCGUCAUUUCAACCCUUAAGCCUUCGUUGCUUAGUGUUGGGAGCCUACGGCAACGUAGCUCCUCAAAGUUAGUGGCGGAGUUAGUUCACACUCUAGACGUAGUAAUUUUUUAUCUCGCCUAUUAGUUGGACUAAUCCCCUGCCGUAAAACCCCCAAUUUAUCAAGGUUGACCUCGAAUCGGUUCAGACAAACUCGCUAAAUUGAAGCAUCUUAGUCAGCGAAGGAAAAGAAACCAACAGGGAUUGCCCUAGUAACGGCGAGUGAAGCGGCAACAGCUCAAAUUUGAAAUCUGGCCCUCGGGUCCGAGUUGUAA